Molecule: ribosomal RNA, 494 nt
Filed under: uncultured bacterium
Lineage: Bacteria
Description: partial 16S ribosomal RNA
Rfam family: Bacterial small subunit ribosomal RNA
Source: RNAcentral
GACGAACGCUGGCGGCGUGCUUUAGGCAUGCCAGUCGAACGCGAAAGCCCCUUCGGGGGUGAGUAGAGUGGCGAACGGGUGAGUAACACGUGGGUAACCUGCCCCUCGCAGGGGGAUAACCGGGGGAAACCCCGGCUAAUACCCCGUACGCUUGCUGGGGCGCAUGCUCCGGCAAGGAAAGGUAGCUUCGGCCAUCCGGCGAGGGAGGGGCCCGCGGCCCAUUAGCUAGUUGGUGGGGUAACGGCCCACCAAGGCGACGAUGGGUAGCUGGCCUGAGAGGGGGGCCGCCCACACGGGGACUGAGACACGGCCCAGACCCCGACGGGAGGCAGCAGCCAGGAAUCUUGCGCAAGGGGCGAAAGCCUGACGCGGCAACGCCGCGGGGGCGAUGAAGGCCUUCGGGUCGUAAAGCCCUGUUGUCGGGGACGAAGGGCGAAGGGUUAAUAGCCCCUAGCCUGACGGUACCCGACGAGGAAGCCCCGGCUAACUACGUG